Molecule: ribosomal RNA, 424 nt
Filed under: Verrucomicrobiota bacterium
Lineage: Bacteria; Pseudomonadati; Verrucomicrobiota
Description: Verrucomicrobia bacterium partial 16S ribosomal RNA
Rfam family: Bacterial small subunit ribosomal RNA
Source: RNAcentral
UGAGGAAUAUUUGUCAAUGGGCGAGAGCCUGAACCAGCCAAGUAGCGUGCAGGAUGACGGCCCUAUGGGUUGUAAACUGCUUUUAUGUGGGGAUAAAGUGCGUGACGUGUCAUGCAUUGCAGGUACCAUAUGAAUAAGGACCGGCUAAUUCCGUGCCAGCCGCCGCGGUAAUACGGAAGGUCCGGGCGUUAUCCGGAUUUAUUGGGUUUAAAGGGAGCGUAGGCUGUCUAUUAAGCGUGUUGUGAAAUUUACCGGCUCAACCGGUGGCUUGCAGCGCGAACUGGUCGACUUGAGUAUGCAGGAAGUAGGCGGAAUUCAUGGUGUAGCGGUGAAAUGCUUAGAUAUCAUGACGAACUCCGAUUGCGCAGGCAGCUUACUGUAGCAUAACUGACGCUGAUGCUCGAAAGUGCGGGUAUCAAACAGG